RNAcentral lists this ribosomal RNA (253 nucleotides) under uncultured bacterium. Its description in RNAcentral is "partial 16S ribosomal RNA". It matches the Rfam family "Bacterial small subunit ribosomal RNA", at positions 524 to 776 of the family's 1533-position model. The record is from RNAcentral.
UACGAAGGGGGCUAGCGUUGUUCGGAAUCACUGGGCGUAAAGCGCACGUAGGCGGAUUGCUAAGUCAGGGGUGAAAUCCUGGAGCUCAACUCCAGAACUGCCUUUGAUACUGGCGACCUUGAGUCCGGGAGAGGUGAGUGGAACUGCGAGUGUAGAGGUGAAAUUCGUAGAUAUUCGCAAGAACACCGGUGGCGAAGGCGGCCCACUGGAUCGGUACUGACGCUGAGGUGCGAAAGCGUGGGGAGCAAACAGG